RNAcentral lists this ribosomal RNA (395 nucleotides) under uncultured bacterium. RNAcentral describes it as "bacterial SSU rRNA". It matches the Rfam family "Bacterial small subunit ribosomal RNA", at positions 413 to 801 of the family's 1533-position model. The record is from RNAcentral.
GGCCUUCGGGUUGUAAGCCCUUUCAGUUGGGACGAAGCUUCGUCGGUUAAUAGCCGGCCGGAGUGACGGUACCUUCAGAAGAAGCCCCGGCUAACUACGUGCCAGCAGCCGCGGUAAUACGUAGGGGGCAAGCGUUGUCCGGAAUCAUUGGGCGUAAAGCGCGUGUAGGCGGCUUGGUAAGUCUGCUGUGAAAGUCCAGGGCUCAACCCUGGAAAGCCGGUGGAAACUGUCAAGCUAGAGUACGGAAGAGGCGAGUGGAAUUCCUGGUGUAGCGGUGAAAUGCGCAGAUAUCAGGAGGAACACCAAUGGCGAAGGCAGCUCGCUGGGACGUUACUGACGCUGAGACGCGAAAGCGUGGGGAGCAAACAGGAUUAGAUACCCUGGUAGUCCAAGGG